RNAcentral lists this ribosomal RNA (999 nucleotides) under Triticum aestivum (bread wheat). RNAcentral describes it as "partial small subunit ribosomal RNA". The record is from RNAcentral. Lineage: Eukaryota; Viridiplantae; Streptophyta; Magnoliopsida; Poales; Poaceae.
AUGGCAGAAGCUGACAUCACGCGGUACUGGUGCCAUGAAUGUCAGCAGGCCGUCGAGGAGGCCAUGGUGGAGGAGCUCAAGUGUCCAUUGUGUGAUGGUGGGUUCGUCGAAGAGAUGACCGUUGAGCAGGUUGAGGCAUUGACAGAGCAAGGGGCAACUCAGUGGGACCCUCUGGACAACCCUUUUGAGCAGGCAGGAUCGCCGGGGGACAGCGAUGAUGAAGAUAAUAGUGAUAUAGGCCGUGAGUUUGAGGGUUUCAUCAGAAGGCAUCGACGGGCAUCGGCACUGCGCCGUGUGCUUGACAGCAUCCAUGAUGACCUUAGAGAUGACAGGGAAAGGGACAACUCCGUUCUGAUCAGUGCUUUCAACCAGGCCCUCGCUCUACAAGGUGCAGCGCUUGACCCUGACGAGGACCGAGGUGACCAUGGUAACGCAAAUAAUGAUGAUGGUUUGCUAGAUGAGUAUGUCCUCGGGGCAGGGCUUAGUCUGCUUCUUCAACAUUUGGCUGAGAAUGACCCGAGCCGGUAUGGUACUCCUCCAACGAAGAAAGAAGCAGUCGAAGCCCUGCCCACGGUCAAAAUCGAAGAGGUUGUCAGCUGUUCAGUCUGUCUUGAUGAUCUUGAUAUAGGGUCCCAGGCUAAGCAGUUGCCUUGUGAACAUAAGUUCCACUCACCAUGUAUCCUGCCAUGGCUUGAACUCCAUAGUUCCUGCCCAGUUUGCCGGUUUGAGCUGCCAUCUGAUGAGACAAAAGACUUGAGCGAGCCUAGCAACGUUGAUCGAAUAGAGAGCAGCCAUGAGGAGGCAAGAGCUGAUGGCCCUGGAAACAAUGGUGAGGACAGUAACACAAACGACAGGGAGGACAGUAACAGACCUUGGGCCCUUGUUCCUUGGUUUAAUGGCCUAUUCUCGACACCUGAGCCGCAAACUGUCAGAGCUACUUUGACUGAUCAGCAGCUGCCUCCUGCUUCUGGAACCAACCCAAAUGCAGGGCAUAGUUGA